GUGCCAGCAGCCGCGGUAAUACGUAGGUGGCAAGCGUUAUCCGGAAUUACUGGGCGUAAAGGGUGCGCAGGCGGACAUUUAAGUCAGAUGUGAAAGACCCGGGCUUAACCUGGGCAGUGCAUUUCAUACUGGAUGUCUGGAGUGCGGGAGAGGAGAGUGGAAUUCCUGGUGUAGCGGUGAAAUGCGUAGAGAUUAGGAGGAACAUCAGUGGCGAAGGCGGUUCCCUGG
Molecule: ribosomal RNA, 228 nt
Filed under: uncultured bacterium
Lineage: Bacteria
Description: partial 16S rRNA
Rfam family: Bacterial small subunit ribosomal RNA
Source: RNAcentral